AACGAACGCUGGCGGCGUGCCUAACACAUGCAAGUCGUGCGAGAAAGUUCCUUCGGGAGCGAGUAAAGCGGCGCACGGGUGAGUAACACGUAGGUAACCUGCCCCCCAGUCUGGAAUAACUAGAGGAAACUCUAGCUAAUGCCGGAUGAGACCACAAUCCCUUCGGGGGUUGCGGCCAAAGAUGGCCUCUACUUGUAAGCUAUCGCUGAGGGAUGGGCCUGCGGGCCAUUAGCUUGUUGGUGAGGUAACGGCUCACCAAGGCUGUGAUGGCUAGCUGGUCUGAGAGGAUGACCAGCCACACUGGGACUGAGACACGGCCCAGACUCCUACGGGAGGCAGCAGUGGGGAAUAUUGCGCAAUGGGCGAAAGCCUGACGCAGCGACGCCGC
RNAcentral lists this ribosomal RNA (388 nucleotides) under uncultured bacterium. RNAcentral's name for it is "bacterial SSU rRNA". It matches the Rfam family "Bacterial small subunit ribosomal RNA", at positions 29 to 400 of the family's 1533-position model. The record is from RNAcentral.